AUUGAACGCUGGCGGCAGGCCUAACACAUGCAAGUCGAGCGGAUGAAGGGAGCUUGCUCCUGGAUUCAGCGGCGGACGGGUGAGUAAUGCCUAGGAAUCUGCCUGGUAGUGGGGGAUAACGUCCGGAAACGGGCGCUAAUACCGCAUACGUCCUGAGGGAGAAAGUGGGGGAUCUUCGGACCUCACGCUAUCAGAUGAGCCUAGGUCGGAUUAGCUAGUUGGUGGGGUAAAGGCCUACCGAGGCGACGAUCCGUAACUGGUCUGAGAGGAUGAUCAGUCACACUGGAACUGAGACACGGUCCAGACUCCUACGGGAGGCAGCAGUGGGGAAUAUUGGACAAAGGGCGAAAGCCUGAUCCAGCCAUGCCGCGUGUGUGAAGAAGGUCUUCGGAUUGUAAAGCACUUUAAGUUGGGAGGAAGGGCAGUAAGUUAAUACCUUGCUGUUUUGACGUUACCAACAGAAUAAGCACCGGCUAACUUCGUG
This 484-nucleotide ribosomal RNA is filed under the name uncultured bacterium. RNAcentral describes it as "partial 16S ribosomal RNA". It matches the Rfam family "Bacterial small subunit ribosomal RNA", at positions 30 to 507 of the family's 1533-position model. The record is from RNAcentral.